UAAGGAAUAUUGGACAAUGGGCGCAAGCCUGAUCCAGCCAUGCCGCGUGGGCGAGGAAGGUCUUCGGAUCGUAAAGCCCUUUUCUCGGGGAAGAACCGCUUUUGGAGGAAAUGCCAGAGGUUUGACGGUACCCGAGGAAUAAGCAACGGCUAACUCCGUGCCAGCAGCCGCGGUAAUACGGAGGUUGCAAGCGUUGUUCGGAAUGACUGGGCGUAAAGGGAGCGCAGGCGGCUGUUUAAGUCUGGAGUGAAAGCCCGGGGCUCAACCCCGGCGGGUCUUCGGAUACUGGACAGCUAGAGUACGGAAGAGGAGAGCGGAAUUCCAGGUGUAGCGGUGAAAUGCGUAGAUAUCUGGAGGAACACCGGUGGCGAAAGCGGCUCUCUGGUCCGAUACUGACGCUCAGGCUCGAAAGCGUGGGGAGCAAACG
RNAcentral lists this ribosomal RNA (427 nucleotides) under uncultured prokaryote. RNAcentral describes it as "bacterial SSU rRNA". It matches the Rfam family "Bacterial small subunit ribosomal RNA", at positions 355 to 774 of the family's 1533-position model. The record is from RNAcentral.